This is a non-coding RNA of Oryzias latipes (Japanese medaka), 4395 nucleotides long. Lineage: Eukaryota; Metazoa; Chordata; Actinopteri; Beloniformes; Adrianichthyidae. The record is from RefSeq and is a predicted model, not a curated record.
AUCACAUGUUCUUCUUCCAUCCUACUCACCGUUCUGUCAUCUGGUGGUGCUAUCAGUCCCUCCUGGUACCUGAAACCAGAACAAAGACGAAGACAGCAUUUCCAGCCUUUUUCAUGCAGCAGCAAAGCAGAGAGGGAUGAGAGGCUUCCUCCAGCGAGGUUUUCAGGAAAAGGGACAGAGCGACGCUGGGAUGUUAGCACCGCUCACGCCGGAUCGUGGACGGACAGAACCCGUGCUGGUAAGGAGGCAGAGGACGAAGCCAAACCAGGAGCUAAAAUGAGAACAAAGCUUACUUUUCCAUCUCUCCUUCCCUGAACUUAACGGAGAAGAUCUUUUCAGACAGCACAGAUAAUCAAAAGCCCUCUCUGGCCUCUGAAUGAAAUGGGACUACUCGAGUUUAAAGCCAGCCAGCCACUUUGAUCUGAAGAUAGCAUCGCUGACAUCACUGAGUGCGCGCCUGAAAGGUGGCGUCACAAGAACAGAGGACUCUCAGAACGGCGGCUGGCUUUGAGAGGCAUGCUGGGAUUUGCCUUGGAUGUGAAAACAGGAUUGCAGAGGGCAGGUGUGAGGCAGUUUCCUCCACUUUCAGCAUCAAAGGCUCACGCUGCAGCGACUCAACCCCACAAGAAGUCGGUCCUAUUUGAAGCGGCGGCCUCCCCCAGCGUCCCGCCGACCCGUGAGAAGUGCUCCUUCUCCAUCAGCUCCAUCGAUAAUAGAGUCAAACCCAAGAAGCACUUCAUUCGUCAAUGGCAGCCCUUAAAGCCGGGGGAGGGUUUUAAAGACAGAGAGGCGUGGCUAUGGCACUGCUAAGUGAGUGACUUGGAUCAGAACCAGGACCAGAACCAUGUUAAAACUAAAAUUAUCCACACAUGUCCAUAAUCUACUACAUUACAGUAAAAUCUUCUACAAAAGACAGAGAAAAGUCUGGUUUACUCUGUACAGACUUCUUCAAGUUUCACACUUAAUCUGUGGCUCAAAUCUUUGGGAGAAACCAUCUCAAGAACAAACCAUUUCAAGCAUCUUCAAUGCUAAACUCCAAGUAAACGUCUAACAUUUGUUCAAUGGAUUCAUACAUAUAAAGUUAAAGGCUGUUAGAGAGAAAGGAAAGAUAAAUCCUUUCUCUUAACAUGUUCCAGGGGAACAUUGGAUUCUGAUUGGCAAAAACAAGCCAUAAGAGGCGAAUUUACCCUCUGAAAUGAUGCUUUGGACUACUAACAUGACAUUUAGCACACAUGCUGUUUGGUCCUCAGGUCUGAUCACACUGGUCCAUCUGCAUGGGGAGUCAGUCUCAUGAUUAAUGGUUUACACAGUCUCUGUUGCAUUCCUGACCCAUCCCCUCCCCCUGGCUUCUGUAGAAGUGCUUUGUUCUGUAAAUGUCCCUGUAAAAUGCAUGUUUAGUGUCAUCUACCAUGUUAUGUUUUUGCCAUCACUGACUGUGUUAAUAUACGUUUUCGCUUUGGCACGUCCCGUUAAACAUAUAGAUUUUUUUCUUUUUGAUUAUUAUUUGUUUUAUUAUUAAAUAUUUUAAAAGGACAGAGGAAGUUUUUACUUUGAAACCUGGACCCGUUUGUCGGUGCUCUGCUUUUUGUGGUGAAAAUUGACGGACUGGAGCUAGGAUUCCUGCGUAGAGCUAGCAUUCCAUUGCAGAGGGACUGAAAAACGAACACUCUAUCUUUUUGCGUCAACACAACGGCGAUGCACCGCAGACGGACCCGUGUAAACCAGGCGUCAUCAGCAUGGUCGGUGCAGCCUCGGUAGCCGUUGCCACGAAAAUGAGUCGUACUGCGUAUCAAAUAGCUUGUAAACAAUGAUUUAAAUGUCAAAAAUAAUAAGAAUAAAGUAUCAAGAUUUGAUUUGAUAUUUAUUUCUUCUGUAAAUGUGUAUGGUAAGAGCAGGAUAAUGUCUUCCAGGUGUCCAUCAUCAGAACUUAAUGGACGGCGUGGGGGUGGGAAGGCUUUCCCCCUAAAUUUUAGCUCAAAGUACACAGAAGGGAAAGAGGGAAAAAGGAGAGGAAGGUCUGAUGGAUAGAACCGGAUGGAUCUGGACCAGAAGCGUCUCACUCUCAGGACUUUACAGUUUCAACGCUCUUCUAUUUAGUUCUGUAUCUCAUCUUACGUCUGGUCUUUUUUCCAUCUUCUCUGUAGCGUCUGGACCCGUCAGGUCACAGUGAUUCCAGCAGUUUUGCUCGCCGCCCAGUCUCCAUCCAGAUUCACUUUUUAUGAUUUCACUCCCUGGAAACUUCAAAGGAGCACGGCGGCUCCUCCUAGUAUAGUUCAGCCAACUUUUCCUCUGAAGUUUUCCAUGUUGUUCUCCUCUGGCUGUCACCUGACCCCCCCUCACACUGUCAGUGGCUCUGAAGACCUCAAUGAUGGGGGGUCUGUGGAGCAUCCACACCGAGUGGAGGGUUAGAUGGAGGCAGCCUGAAGGAAAACGAGGACCAAAGACGGUUUAACUGGGCCGUUAACUGGUCAAGGAUGGAUGUAAACACGGGGAAUCAGUUUCAUCACGGGUGUGUUCCUUCUACUUGACUGUCAUCAGGUGAAGCAGCAAAGACAGGUAGGCGGUCCUAAAGAUCCACCUUGAUUUUGCGAGCCUCAGAAUCCCCCAAACAAAAGUUGGUUCAGUGUUUGUGAGUGAGGGAUGAGCGGUGUGGCUCCAUGAACGAUUCAGCGGAGGGGAAUUGUGCCGUGACCAGCCGCCUCUCCGUGCCUAAAGCCUUUCCCAAACAAUCAGGGAUCGCUUUGGGAGUGUGUGUGGCUGUCUUUGUGUUGCUGCGCACACGUUGCAGUGGAGCAACGUGUGCGUGUGGAGCCGAUCGGGGAGGUGGCCCCGGGGCCGCAGCCGGAUCAGAUUGAGUUGGCAGUCAGAAAGAGAUGCUCAGCCUUAAUCUGAUUGUGGCUCCAAACUACACACUCAACUGGCUGUGAAAAAAAAAGAACCACACAACACACACACACACACACACUGUCCCAGCACCUGUGAGGCAACUGAUGCAAACCGACGGAUCAAAUCAUCCAAAGCAGGAGAUGAGCAGAAGCUCCACUCUAUCCAGCUAAAACUUCUGCUGAUGAGUAACUUCUGCUGCAUUUUGUGGGAAAGGCGUGUUUGUUCUCAUGGAGGCAAAGCAGAUUAGAGGAGAAAAAAACGGGCUAAAAAUCAGGAAACAUAUAAAAGGGGUCACUGACUUUGCCGGCCUAAAUCUCUGUGGACGUGUGUUUUGCGGCUUUGGGGCUUUGACUGUGUGUGCUCUGUCACCGCCAGUCUUCACUCUCACUCUGUGAUGAGAGAAAAAUCUCCUGCCAGGGGAACCCACGGCUGCACGAGUGCUUCUGCGCGUCAGGUCACAUCUACCGCUCGGCGGAAGCCCACCCAGGGCUCCCAGUCAACGGCAAAAGUUUGACCAACCGCCGGAUUCAGAGACGAGAACUUCCAGCCGCUGUGAACCCGAGCUUCACUGAAGUUCUUCCUCCAACCUCACAACCUGACAGGUCCACUGAAAAGGAAGUCUUAGGGGGAAAAAAACGGUUUCAAACUUGGACAAAUCCUAACCCUAACCUGAGACGGACACCAGGAUCUCGAUGGACAUCUCUGAGAUCAGUCGGGAUCACGGGAAGGAAAAAAGGCUGAAUUCCAUGUUUGGCUGUGAGGACCACAUGCUGCAGACUGUCAAAUGUGUGACAAACAGGACGCCAACAUGGACAUCAGAGGACAUUCAGUGAUAGUUUUUUGUUGCUACCCUGAGCAUCAGAUAAACUUCACUCAGCAUCACCGAUGGCCUCCCGUUGGCUCUUGAUGAGGCUGUGAUGUUCACUGAAGAAAGGAAGCAGCAGGUGGGAGGAGCUAAGAGACAGAGUUCCUGUAUUCAAGCACUUUUUCACUAAGUAAGUAAGUAGCAUACUGAUCGAUGACUUGCAAUCUUAACUGAAGGAGUCAUGAAGAAAGUAAAAGGUCAGUCCAGCCUCCAGGAAGUCCGUCUGAGUUUACCAUCAAACCUAGAAAAACUGUCUUCAACGCAUCGUCCCAGAAGGCUUAGUCUUCUUCAGUCCUUCGCCACUCGCCACAGAGACAGCUUCUUCCCCCGAGCUGUCACUCUAAUGACCUCCUGACCACUAAAGAACACGGAGCAAUACCACGGAAACUGUCACACCGGAACUACGGCUGCAUUUUGACUUAGUCUUUUUUCUUAUUAAGUUAUGUUUAUUUAUUCCUAUAUCUAACUUAUAUUGCUUUCUUUUUUAUUUUUUAUCCUUUUUUGUCUUACCCCCCUCAAACAUUUUUAUCUAGUUUACACGAGAGCACAAGAGGAGCCAGUUUAGCUCGUGCUGGUUUGCGGCGCCUUCCAUCCGUGAAACCCGAGUUCGACUCCGGGCUGCUCCCUGUUCCCUUCUCUACCUA